Non-coding RNA from Danio rerio (zebrafish), 71 nucleotides. The record is from Rfam. Lineage: Eukaryota; Metazoa; Chordata; Actinopteri; Cypriniformes; Danionidae.
GCAUUGGUGGUUCAGUGGUAGGAUUCUCGCCUGCCACGUGGGAGACCUGGGUCUGAUUCCUGGCCAAUGCA